UACGUAGGGUGCGAGCGUUGUCCGGAUUUAUUGGGCGUAAAGAGCUCGUAGGCGGUUUGUCGCGUCGGCCGUGAAAUCUCCACGCUUAACGUGGAGCGUGCGGUCGAUACGGGCAGACUUGAGUUCGGCAGGGGAGACUGGAAUUCCUGGUGUAGCGGUGAAAUGCGCAGAUAUCAGGAGGAACACCGGUGGCGAAGGCGGGUCUCUGGGCCGAUACUGACGCUGAGGAGCGAAAGCGUGGGGAGCAAACAGG
Molecule: ribosomal RNA, 253 nt
Filed under: uncultured bacterium
Lineage: Bacteria
Description: partial 16S ribosomal RNA
Rfam family: Bacterial small subunit ribosomal RNA
Source: RNAcentral